GCAGUGGUAGCCAAUUGUCUACUCAACUUUUUGAAAUUUAUCAAGCCCUGUGUCCUAAAUUCGUGCUCUGUUUAUCAUGUAGUCUAAUCGGUUUCUAAGUUAAGACAUUGUGAGCGAUUGACUUGUUGGCCACUCCUGCUCUAUAGAGAUGAAAGAUCAUCUCUGUGAAGAAAGAUCAACAGACUCCCAGGUUUUCAUCUUCUUAAACUAAAUGAUAUUAACCUCUAUUCAUCUAUCCUUUAAAACCAUCAUGCUUACAGAAUCUGCCCUAUUCUCUCAGUCUAUUUCACUAUCUAGAAUCAGUUGCCAUGGAUGCACUCCUCAUCACAAAAACAAAUUCUUCCAAGUUAAUGGCAAAAUUUUCCUUCAGCAGGAUUAUAUACCAAUGAGUUCACCAUUAUCCACAUUUCUUGCUGAAAUCAUUUGUAAACUAGAACAUAAUCUUUCACUUUCCUUUAUGUACCCCCUAUCCUGUUUUCUAUAUUGUAUAUGUUAUAUUGAUGACUGCUAGUUCUCUGGCAAGGCACCAACAAACAACUCUUUAUUUUCAUAUCCACCCUCAGCUGUAUAUUCUUCAAUUAAAUUCUGAAUAGAACACCAAACUAGCAAUUCAAUCUCCCUUUCUUGACCUAUUUAUUACUAAUACAGAUUCCUUCUUCCAUUUUUCUAUUUUUCAGAAUCCUACAAGUAACC
RNAcentral lists this long non-coding RNA (693 nucleotides) under Androctonus crassicauda. Lineage: Eukaryota; Metazoa; Arthropoda; Arachnida; Scorpiones; Buthidae. The record is from RNAcentral.